Molecule: ribosomal RNA, 3599 nt
Organism: Simkania negevensis Z
Lineage: Bacteria; Pseudomonadati; Chlamydiota; Chlamydiia; Parachlamydiales; Simkaniaceae
Rfam family: Bacterial large subunit ribosomal RNA
Source: Rfam
GAUUAAGCUAUUAAGAGCUAUUGGUGGAUGCCUUGGCAUCGACAGGCGAUGAAGGACGCGCGUACCUGCGAUAAGCUUCGGGGAGCUGGAUAGAAGCAUUGAACCGAAGAUUUCCGAAUGGGGGAACCCAGUGGAGUUAGUCCUCCACUAUUCCUACCUGAAUACAUAGGGUUGGAAAGCAAUACCUGCUGAAUUGAGACAUCUAAGUAGGCAGAGGAAAAGAAAUCAAUUGAGAUUCCCGUAGUAGCGGCGAGCGAAGUGGGAAGAGCCCAAACCGAAAAUUUAUUUUCGGGGUUGUAGGACUAGUCAUAAAGCUUAAGUGGACUUAGCAUAAUCAUCUGGGAAGGUGAGCGAUACAGGGUGAAAGCCCCGUGUGCAAAGAGAAAGCUUAAGUGAGAUUAGCACCUGAGUAGGGCCGGACACGUGAAACCCGGUCUGAAUCUGGGGAGACCACUCUCCAAGGCUAAAUACUCGUCGAUGACCGAUAGUGCACAAGUACAGUGAUGGAAAGGUGAAAAGAACCCCUGUUAGGGGAGUGAAAUAGAAUCUGAAACCAGUAGCUUACAAGCGGUCAGAGGCCUAUAUCCCUUUUAGGGAAAUGGCUGAUGGCGUGCCUUUUGCAUGAUGAGCCAGCGAGUUAAGUUAUACGGCUAGGUUAAGGAAUAUACGUUCCGGAGCCGGAGUGAAAGCGAGCGUUAAUAGCGCUUACAGUCGUAUGAUUUAGACACGAAACCAAGUGAUCUAUCCAUGACCAGGAUGAAGCACGAGUAACAUCGUGUGAAGGUCCGAACUAGUGUAUGUUGAAAAAUACUUGGAUGAGUUGUGGAUAGGGGUGAAAGGCCAAUCAAACUUGGAGAUAUCUUGUUCUCUCCGAAAUAACUUUAGGGUUAGCCUUGACUUUCAGACUUUUGGGGGUAGAGCACUGGAUUCCCAAGGGGGCCUACCGGCCUACCAAAGGAAACCAAACUCCGAAUACUAAAAGUUAAGUCAGGAGAUAGACAGUGGGGGAUAAGCUUCAUUGUCAAAAGGGGAACAGCCCAGAUCGCCGAUUAAGGCCCCUAAUUCUAUGCUAAGUGAGUAAGGAUGUGAAGUUUCACAGACAGUUGGAAUGUUGGCUUAGAGGCAGCCACCAUUUAAAGAGUGCGUAACAGCUCACCAACCGAGAAAUUUUGCGCCGAUAAUAAACGGGACUAAGCAUAGAGCCGAAAUCGCGGGUGCCAUACAUUUGUAUGGCGCGGUAGGAGAGCGUAGUAUGUGCGGUGAAGAUAUACCGAAAGGAGUGUUGGAGCGCAUACUAGUGAGGAUGCAUGGCAUGAGUACACGAUAAAGGAAGUGAGAAUCUUCCUCGCCGAAAGCCUAAGGUUUCCAGGGUAAAGCUCGUCUUCCCUGGGUUAGCCGGCCCCUAAGCCGAGGCAGAAAUGCGUAGGCGAUGGAAAGCAGGUUAAAUAUUCCUGCGCCACCUAAAACUAUGGUGAUGGGACGACGAAGUAUGUUAAGCACGCGAACUAUUGGAUGUUCGUUUCUCUAUGAGGCCGCUCAGCAGGUAAAUCCGCUGAGAGAAAGCCAGGUAGGGGACAAGGGGAACCUUCGGGGGAACCGAUGGUGUAGCGCUAGGCUUCCAAGAAAUAGUCUCUAACCGUUGAUGGUGACCGUACCAAAACCGACACAGGUAGGCAUGAUGAAUAUUCUCAGGCGCGCGAGACAACUCUCGUUAAGGAACUCGGCAAAUUAUCCUCGUAACUUCGGAAGAAGAGGAGCCCCUUGGUGUGAUUCCCUUGCGGAUAAGCAUCGGGGGGCCGCAGAGAAAUGGCCCAGGCGACUGUUUAACAAAAACACAGCACUAUGCAAACUCGUCUAAGAGGAAGUAUAUGGUGUGAUGCCUGCCCAAUGCCAAAAGGUCAACAGGAGGCGUCAGCCCUUCGGGGCGAAGCGCUGAAUAUAAGCCCUGGUGAAUGGCGGCCGUAACUAUAACGGUCCUAAGGUUAAUAGCUAGCCUUAGUAAAACCAAACUAUAUGCGGGAAAACCCUCAAAAGCUUUAAGGUACUCGUUUAGAUAAGUCUAAGCAGUAAAAAUCCUUAAAGAUAUGUGGGCGAUCCGCAGGAAAGACUAAUUGCUUGAAACUCUUAGGUAAAACUUGUCCCUGGUGAGACAAGUUAACUAAGAGCUAAAUUGGAAUCCUCAGAGACCAAACGUUUGGAGUUUGAAAUGCAUUUAGAUGCACAAUGGAUAGUUGGAUUUGUCGAUGGAGAAGGAUGUUUUAAAGUUUCUCUCAAUAAAAUGAAGGAAAUUGAAACUGAAUUCACCGUUGUUCAAAACGAGCAAGAUGUACAAGUACUUUUCGCGUUAAAAAAGCAUUUUGGAUGUGGAGUGGUUCGAAAGAUCCCUUCAAACAGGAUGUGUUAUCGCGUAAAAGAAACUAAACAUCUCUUAACAAAGAUCAUUCCUUUUUUUGAAAAACACUCUCUUAAAACUUUUAAGCGAGUGGAGUUUCAAAAGUUUAGGAAAAUACUCUUGAAAAUCCAAAGAAAUGAGCACAUGAGCGCUGAUGGAAUUGACGAAAUUCAAAACAUCAUCAGACAAGUGGCUUCAAUUCAAACUAAGAUAGAGUCCGACUCUUUUGGAAACAAAAGGGACUAAUCGAGCGAAAUUCCUUGUCGGGUAAGUUCCGACCUGCACGAAUGGCGUAACGAUCUGGGCGCUGUCUCAACGAGAGACUCGGUGAAAUUGUAGUAGCGGUGAAGAUGCCGUUUACCCGCAGCUAGACGGAAAGACCCCGUGAACCUUUACUGUACUCUGAUAUUGGCUUUUGACUUGUCAUGUGUAGGAUAGCCGGGAGGCUGUGAAAGAGAUUCGUCAGGAUUUCUGGAGCCAUCCUUGAAAUACCGGCCUUGACAUGUUGAAAAUCUAACGAAGCCCCGUGAAUCCGGGGUUCGGACAUUGUCAGACGGGCAGUUUGACUGGGGCGGUAUCCUCCUAAAAUGUAACGGAGGAGUUCAAAGCUUGCCUCAUCGUGGUUGGCAAUCACGAUUAGAGCGUAAAGGUAUAAGGCAAGUUGACUGCGAGACCAACGAGUCGAGCAGGUACGAAAGUAGGACUUAGUGAUCCGGCGGUGGAAAGUGGAAUCGCCGUCGCUUAACGGAUAAAAGGUACUCCGGGGAUAACAGGCUUAUCGCCACCAAGAGUUCAUAUCGACGUGGCGGUUUGGCACCUCGAUGUCGACUCAUCGCAUCCUGGGGCUGUAGAAGGUCCCAAGGGUUUGGCUGUUCGCCAAUUAAAGCGGUACGCGAGUUGGGUUCAGAACGUCGUGAGACAGUUUGGUCCCUAUCUGCUGUGGGCGUAGGAUACUUGAGAAGAGCUGCUUCUAGUACGAGAGGACCGAAGUGGACGAACCAAUGGUGUUCCGGUUGUUCUGCCAAGAGCAUUGCCGGGUAGCUAUGUUCGGAAAGGAUAAGCGUUGAAAGCAUCUAAACGCCAAGCCUCCUUCAAGAUAAAGUAUCCCUAUGAGACAACCUGAAGACGACAGGGUUGAUAGGCUGGGUGUGUAAGUACAGCAAUGUAUUGAGCUAACCAGUACUAAUCUGUCCAUUGGCUUAAUCUU